RNAcentral lists this transfer RNA (85 nucleotides) under Felis catus (domestic cat). It matches the Rfam family "tRNA". From Rfam's summary of the family: Transfer RNA (tRNA) molecules are approximately 80 nucleotides in length. Their secondary structure includes four short double-helical elements and three loops (D, anti-codon, and T loops). Lineage: Eukaryota; Metazoa; Chordata; Mammalia; Carnivora; Felidae. The record is from Rfam by way of RNAcentral.
AUCUGGGUGGCUCAGUUGGUGAAGCAUCUGACUUCUGCUCAGGUCGUGAUUUCACGGUUCGUGAGUUCGAGACCCGCUCCAGACU